Molecule: non-coding RNA, 72 nt
Organism: Pangasianodon gigas (Mekong giant catfish)
Lineage: Eukaryota; Metazoa; Chordata; Actinopteri; Siluriformes; Pangasiidae
Source: the annotation of a GenBank genome assembly
UCCCUGGUGGACUAGUGGUUAGGCCACAGUGCUCUCACUGGUGUGGCCUGGGUUCAGUACCUGGGCAGGGAA